GACGAACGCUGGCGGCGUGCUUAACACAUGCCAGUCGAACGGAAAGGCCUGCUUUCCCUUGUGGAUUGCGGGUACUCGAGUGGCGAACGGGUGAGUAACACGUGAGUGAUCUGCCCCCAACUUGGGUAUAAGCCUGGGAAACUGGGUCUAAUUCCCGAUAGGACUGCAGGGUGGUGCCUGUGGUGGAAAACGAUUUUCUAGUGGUUGGGGAUGAGCUCGCGGCCUAUCAGCUUGUUGGUGGGGUAAUGGCCUACCAAGGCGGCGACGGGUAGCCGGCCUGAGAGGGUGGACGGCCACAUUGGGACUGAGAUACGGCCCAGACUCCUACGGGAGGCAGCAGUGGGGAAUAUUGCACAAUGGGCGGAAGCCUGAUGCAGCGACGCCGCGUGGGGGAUGACGGCCCUCGGGUUGUAAACUCCUUUCGACCGCGAGGAAGCCACCUGGUUGGAAGGGUGGUGACGGUAGUGGUAGAAGAAGCACCGGCUAACUACGUG
This 494-nucleotide ribosomal RNA is filed under the name uncultured bacterium. RNAcentral describes it as "partial 16S ribosomal RNA". It matches the Rfam family "Bacterial small subunit ribosomal RNA", at positions 28 to 507 of the family's 1533-position model. The record is from RNAcentral.